UUAUUCAAGCAUUGGAUGACUUGAAAUAAAUGAAAGCCCAAAGCCCAAACAACACAAAGAGGGCCGGCCACAUUAGGUAUAGAGAGAGAGAGAGAGGUCAAAUGUUGACUUGUUUUCUUUUGGCUAUAAAAGGAACUUUAUAGCAAAUGUUUCAUGAGGGUUUUUUGUGUGUUUAGAACAACAAAUAGGCAAAAGAAUAUCUCUCAAAACCACAACAAAGGGCCGGCCACCUAGGGGAUGAAAUAGCUAACAAUCUUUCACCCUUUUGGUUAUUCCUUCAUCCUUCUCA
This 289-nucleotide long non-coding RNA is filed under the name Malus domestica (apple). Its description in RNAcentral is "long non-coding RNA (MDOM_LNC011588)". The record is from RNAcentral. Lineage: Eukaryota; Viridiplantae; Streptophyta; Magnoliopsida; Rosales; Rosaceae.